Molecule: non-coding RNA, 28 nt
Filed under: Mus musculus (house mouse)
Lineage: Eukaryota; Metazoa; Chordata; Mammalia; Rodentia; Muridae
Source: RNAcentral
UAAAGUGGCCCCUAUAUAAGGUUAGGAC